RNAcentral lists this unclassified non-coding RNA (393 nucleotides) under fungal sp. RNAcentral describes it as "partial internal transcribed spacer region". The stretch from base 1 to 46 matches the Rfam family "Eukaryotic small subunit ribosomal RNA", at positions 1786 to 1831 of the family's 1831-position model. Lineage: Eukaryota; Fungi. The record is from RNAcentral.
AAGUCGUAACAAGGUUUCCGUAGGUGAACCUGCGGAAGGAUCAUUAUUACGUAUCCAACGUAUCAAACCAAAUUGUGAACAGUUUCCGCAUUGGGUGAGGAUUUCUGCGAGAUGGUCGGAUUUGUUGAUUGAAAAUGCAUAGUUAGAAGGGCCUCAAAAACCCUUGAAGCUCAACAAUCCAAUGGCUAUUUCGGUCCUGUGAAUCUUAAUUGAUUCUCAGCUCACCUGGUGUGGUUUUAAACAUUAUUCUUCAUCUUUCUAUGCUAUUUAACAAUUAACCCCUUGUAAACAAAUUGACCUAACGUACCGAGUGGAACGACUUUCAACGGUUGUUUGACUCCGGAUAAAACCGAAACUUAAGAACAACUCUUAACAACGGAUAUCUUGGUUCUC